RNAcentral lists this non-coding RNA (26 nucleotides) under Rattus norvegicus (Norway rat). Lineage: Eukaryota; Metazoa; Chordata; Mammalia; Rodentia; Muridae. The record is from RNAcentral.
GAGACGCUGUGAAGUCAGGUGGAUGC